CCUACGGGGGGCAGCAGUGAGGAAUUUUCGUCAAUGGGGGCAACCCUGAACGAGCAACGCCGCGUGCAGGAUGACACUUUUCGGAGCGUAAACUGCUUUUCUGGGGGAAGAGAACGGACGGUACCCCAGGAAGAAGCCCCGGCUAACUACGUGCCAGCAGCCGCGGUAAUACGUAGGGGGCAAGCGUUGUCCGGAGUUACUGGGCGUAAAGCGCCCGCAGGCGGUCGUCUAAGUUCAGACUGACAAUCCCCAGCUUAACUGGGGAGGGUGUAUGAAAACUGGACGACUUGAGGGAUAGAGAGGGACAUGGAAUUCCGGGUGGAGUGGUGAAAUGCGUAGAUAUCCGGAGGAACACCAAAGGCGAAGGCAAUGUCCUGGCUAUUUCCUGACGCUGAGGGGCGAAAGCUAGGGGAGCGAACGGGAUUAGAUACCCUGGUAGUC
RNAcentral lists this ribosomal RNA (441 nucleotides) under uncultured bacterium. RNAcentral describes it as "bacterial SSU rRNA". It matches the Rfam family "Bacterial small subunit ribosomal RNA", at positions 338 to 795 of the family's 1533-position model. The record is from RNAcentral.